Molecule: long non-coding RNA, 1385 nt
Filed under: Felis catus (domestic cat)
Lineage: Eukaryota; Metazoa; Chordata; Mammalia; Carnivora; Felidae
Description: lncRNA (ENSFCAG00000043936.2)
Source: RNAcentral
GUGGCCCAGGUGACACGCCUGUUUUGUCUGGAACACGCUCUGAAGCAUACGUUUUCUGCUGGAAGAAAAACAUGUUUUAAGAGGUUUUGUUUCAUUUCGCCGGCUGCUGAUUCAAACACUUGUCCUGCUUUCAUAGUCCGUGAUUAAUUGCAGGUUCCUACUCCUGUGGGAAUUACUCAAGGCUCCUCUCAAAGCCGCGCUGCACUCGUCAGCGUGACUCACCUUUUCACGAUUCCAGAGCUAAUAACAGGGAUUAUCCAGUCGGCACUUCGGGAAAUGAGUGAGAGUGAAAAGGGGACUGUUACAUUUGCUUUUCUUGGGGAAACAAAAACUUUUUAAUGAAGUCUAGCCUAUAGAAGAAAGCACAGAUUGUAAUAAGUGUGCAGCCCGAUAGAUGUUGGCGGUAUAAACCCACCGACAUUUCUGGCACCCCAGAACAAGAAUCAAAACAUGGCCAGCUGUUUGAGGUUUCAAUAUGUUACCUUCCACGUGUGGACAUGCGAUCUUGCUUGGAUGGAGUUUGUUUCUGGAGCUGUGGUGAACUGUAAGGAGAAGAAACAGAACUUGAGAAUGAAAUGGGGGCACUACUGAUUACACAGGGCCAGCAGGCAUAAACCAGAACUGUCUUGGGGAAACUGGGACAAAGCCCACCGGGACCCUGAGACCCACUGAUGAUCGCACUUCGGCGCAUCAGGCAGGUGGCGACCAUCACGAUGGCUGACACAGUUAUGACGGCAAGGUUCACAGCGACAACCAUAGCAAUAACGUGGCCACGCGGAGCACAACGCGGUCUCCAACACCGACAACAUCUGGAGCCUAGGAGGCCCACGAUAAGUAUUUGCUGGAUCCAUGAAUAAAUUAGCACCCGUUGUCACAAUCCUCAUUUUUCCUGGUUUUACUGAGUGACCCAAGUGAAUCGCUGACUUACACCGAUGACCAUUGUUUUAGAGUAACUAUCCUUAACCUGUGAGGCAAGAACCCUUUCUGUUCUAGUUUUCAAAGAGUUAUGGCUGAAAAGGGGGCUGAAAGGUAUCAGAUGUAUUUGCCACACCUUUGAGACGCUUCUGUAACUUUUUAUUCAAACACAUCAAUAUAACGGAUCGCUUAAAUGUUACAACACCUUUCCACCCCUGGGUAUAAAAUUCUGUAUUUGUGUGUUUGUGUACGUGCAUGUUCAGGUUUAGUCCAGAGGGGCGUGGUAGGGUUUUGAUUAGGAUUUUUACAUUCUAACAUUUUUGAAAAAGGUUUAUUUUUGAGAAAGACAGAGAGAGAGAGAGAGAGAGAGAGAGAGAGAGAGAGAGAGAGAGAGAGAGAGAGAGAGAGAGAGAGAGAGAGAGAGAGAGAGAGAGAGAGAGAGAGAGAGAGAGAGAGAGAGAGAGAGAGAG